GAUGAACGCUAGCUACAGGCUUAACACAUGCAAGUCGAGGGGCAGAGCUGCCGCCGGUCCCAGUACUAGCAAUAGAUUGCUGGCGACCGGCGCACGGGUGAGUAACACGUAUCCAACCUGCCGAUAACUCGGGGAUAGCCUUUCGAAAGAAAGAUUAAUACCCGAUGGUAUAAUCAGACCGCAUGGUUUGAUUAUUAAAGAAUUUCGGUUAUCGAUGGGGAUGCGUUCCAUUAGGCAGUUGGUGAGGUAACGGCUCACCAAACCUUCGAUGGAUAGGGGUUCUGAGAGGAAGGUCCCCCACAUUGGAACUGAGACACGGUCCAAACUCCUACGGGAGGCAGCAGUGAGGAAUAUUGGUCAAUGGACGCGAGUCUGAACCAGCCAAGUAGCGUGAAGGAUGACUGCCCUAUGGGUUGUAAACUUCUUUUAUAUGGGAAUAAAGUUUUCCACGUGUGGAAUUUUGUAUGUACCAUAUGAAUAAGGAUCGGCUAACUCCGUGCCAGCAGCCGCGGUAAUACGGAGGAUCCGAGCGUUAUCCGGAUUUAUUGGGUUUAAAGGGAGCGUAGGUGGACAGUUAAGUCAGUUGUGAAAGUUUGCGGCUCAACCGUAAAAUUGCAGUUGAUACUGGCUGUCUUGAGUACAGUAGAGGUGGGCGGAAUUCGUGGUGUAGCGGUGAAAUGCUUAGAUAUCACGAAGAACUCCGAUUGCGAAGGCAGCUCACUGGACUGCAACUGACACUGAUGCUCGAAAGUGUGGGUAUCAAACAGGAUUAGAUACCCUGGUAGUCCACACAGUAAACGAUGAAUACUCGCUGUUUGCGAUAUACAGUAAGCGGCCAAGCGAAAGCAUUAAGUAUUCCACCUGGGGAGUACGCCGGCAACGGUGAAACUCAAAGGAAUUGACGGGGGCCCGCACAAGCGGAGGAACAUGUGGUUUAAUUCGAUGAUACGCGAGGAACCUUACCCGGGCUUAAAUUGCAUUUGAAUAAUCUGGAAACAGGUUAGCCGCAAGGCAAAUGUGAAGGUGCUGCAUGGUUGUCGUCAGCUCGUGCCGUGAGGUGUCGGCUUAAGUGCCAUAACGAGCGCAACCCUUAUCUUUAGUUACUAACAGGUCAUGCUGAGGACUCUAGAGAGACUGCCGUCGUAAGAUGUGAGGAAGGUGGGGAUGACGUCAAAUCAGCACGGCCCUUACGUCCGGGGCUACACACGUGUUACAAUGGGGGGUACAGAAGGCAGCUACCUGGUGACAGGAUGCUAAUCCCAAAAGCCUCUCUCAGUUCGGAUCGAAGUCUGCAACCCGACUUCGUGAAGCUGGAUUCGCUAGUAAUCGCGCAUCAGCCAUGGCGCGGUGAAUACGUUCCCGGGCCU
RNAcentral lists this ribosomal RNA (1367 nucleotides) under uncultured bacterium. Its description in RNAcentral is "bacterial SSU rRNA". It matches the Rfam family "Bacterial small subunit ribosomal RNA", at positions 28 to 1381 of the family's 1533-position model. The record is from RNAcentral.